UGAGGAAUUUUGCGCAAUGGGCGCAAUCCUGACGCAGCAACGCCGCGUGGGUGAUGAAGGCCUUCGGGUCGUAAAGCCCUGUCAGGUGGGAAGAAUGUCCCGGGACUGAACAGGUUUUGGGAGUGACGGUACCACCAGAGGAAGCACCGGCUAACUCCGUGCCAGCAGCCGCGGUAAUACGGAGGGUGCAAGCGGUAUUCGGAAUUACUGGGCGUAAAGCGCGUGUAGGCGGUCCUGCAAGUCUGAUGUGAAAGCCCCGGGCUUAACCCGGGAAGUGCAGUGGAAAC
RNAcentral lists this ribosomal RNA (287 nucleotides) under uncultured prokaryote. RNAcentral's name for it is "partial 16S ribosomal RNA". It matches the Rfam family "Bacterial small subunit ribosomal RNA", at positions 355 to 633 of the family's 1533-position model. The record is from RNAcentral.